GUGGAUUAGAUACCCUGGUAGUCCACGCCGUAAACGAUGAGAACUAGCCGUUGGAUCCCUUGAGGGUUUAGUGGCGUAGCUAACGCGAUAAGUUCUCCGCCUGGGGAGUACGGCCGCAAGGCUAAAACUCAAAUGAAUUGACGGGGGCCCGCACAAGCGGUGGAGCAUGUUGUUUAAUUCGAUGCAACGCGAAGAACCUUACCACCCCUUGACAUCCUCGGAACUUGGCAGAGAUGCCUUGGUGCCUUCGGGAACCGAGAGACAGGUGCUGCACGGCCGUCGACAGCU
This 288-nucleotide ribosomal RNA is filed under the name uncultured bacterium. RNAcentral's name for it is "partial 16S ribosomal RNA". It matches the Rfam family "Bacterial small subunit ribosomal RNA", at positions 773 to 1060 of the family's 1533-position model. The record is from RNAcentral.